Molecule: ribosomal RNA, 432 nt
Filed under: uncultured bacterium
Lineage: Bacteria
Description: bacterial SSU rRNA
Rfam family: Bacterial small subunit ribosomal RNA
Source: RNAcentral
GAACGCGAAGAACCUUACCAAGUCUUGACAUCCUUUGACCACUCUAGAGAUAGAGCUUUCCCUUCGGGGACAAAGUGACAGGUGGUGCAUGGUUGUCGUCAGCUCGUGUCGUGAGAUGUUGGGUUAAGUCCCGCAACGAGCGCAACCCUUGCCAUUAGUUGCCAUCAUUUAGUUGGGCACUCUAGUGGGACUGCCGGGGAAAACUCGGAGGAAGGUGGGGAUGACGUCAAAUCAUCAUGCCCCUUAUGUUCUGGGCUACACACGUGCUACAAUGGCCGGUACAACAGGCAGCGAACCCGUGAGGGGGAGCGAAUCCCAAAAGCCGGUCCCAGUUCGGACUGUAGGCUGCAACUCGCCUACACGAAGUUGGAGUUGCUAGUAAUCGCGGAUCAGAAUGCCGCGGUGAAUGCGUUCCCGGGUCUUGUACACACC